GAAAGCGUUACUGGUUCUACCGUUCCCAGCGUGUUCCUUCUAGGCGUUCUGCCUCUCUGCAGAGACCUCAUUACCUUCCGCCCUCCGCAUGGCUGUUUAGCUGUGCCUCACGGACCAUGGAACCAGCGACUUUGAUCAUUGUAUCUGUCUGGAGUCUAGAGUCCAAAUCCAUAUGAAAGGUAGCGGGCACCAGCUAUGGAGACUAAGCUUGUGUGGCUCAUGGAUCCAGAAACAAGAAGUAACCACGAUGGCUGCAGAGAGACUAGCUCUUGGGAGUGUCUCUAGUUUGAGCACAAACAGAAGAAAGAUCUAAAAACCCUUUCAGGAGCAUUAUGACGUAUCAGGUGACAGUAACCUAAGGAUGCACAAGGAAUGUCACUCAUCGGUGCUGAAUUCCCCAGGGUAAACCAGUGACAGAACCAAAGCACAGCGGUAAUAGUAAGACAGGGUACAGGUGUCGUCAAAACAGCGUUGUUUCAACCAAUGAAGAAGUAUAUACACAGUGGGGGACCUCUGAGACUGUAUUGAAAUCGGGAAACUCUUGGAGCUUCAUGACAUUAAUGUCAUAGUAAAAUAGACCAUGUAUUUGUGACCAUGGUUAUGUGAACUAAACCACCAAUCUGGCCCUUAUGUAAAGGUUCACCCUAAAAACUAUAUACAUACACAGUACUUGAUAAUGAUGAUGUCUGUCAUUUCAGGGAAGUCAUGACAGGAACUCACACAGCUAACCACAUCACAGCCACAGCUGAAGACAGACUGGAUCUCACCCACACAGGCUACCUGCUUAAUUGUGCCCAGACAGCUUUUUUUUCACUACUCAUCAGUUCAGUGCUAAGCCUAUGAAAUUGUCCCAACUGGUGUUCAGGGCGGACCUUCCCACCUCUGUUAAUAAUCAAAAACAAAUCCCCUACAGAUAUGGCCACAGGCUGGUCUAGAUAAUUCCUCAUUAAGACCCUCUUCCCAGGUGAUCCUAGGUUUAAGCAGAUAGUUAAAACUGAUCAGCCUGGUUUAUCAUAUUGGGGUUGGGGGAGCUUACUGUAAACAUGGUGUAUUACUCUUCAGUGGACCUUUUCACCCUGUGUUUAUGCUUACAGUAUGUGUUGAUAGCAUCGUUCUCUGGUGCUUGAUUUAAGCUCAUGCUUUGUUCAUCCUGGACCCUAAAUAUAAAAAAAAUCCACUGCUGAUGUGACUAGCAAGAGGUCACAUGGAGUAAUUGACCUGGAAAUGAAAUUUUAAGUGAUUAAGGACUAUGGAGGUGAAAAAUCGAUGGCGGUUAUUGCUCUCCAAUCAAGCAUGCCCCAGCUCGAAGCUACGGUCUUGAAAAAUGUGUACAAGGGGAUCGAAGCUGCUUAAGGAUCUGAUUUGUGGAAGUCGCUAGAAGGUGGCAAUGGAAUCCUAGCACUUGGGAGACAGAGACAAAAGGACCAGAAGUGUAGCGUCAUCCUUGGCGACAUGGGGAGUUAAAAGCCAACCCGCACUCUCUGAACUUCUAUUUCCAAAAACUAAAAACUACCUAGAUGAGGCUGGGUAAGAUUUGGAGGAACCUCCAAUGGCCUGGAUCAAAGACCAGACAGAACUACAAUGUAUCCAAGCAGCAAGACAAUGGGGACCAUUUGCUGGACCCGCCCACAAGGUUGAGGUUCCAGGUGGUUUGAGCUAAUCAAGGAGUGUUAUUUUGUUACUCGAUGUCAGAACAAGCAGUGGGUCUCCCAGGGCUGAUGGCUCUUAGAUACUCUGUGGAAGCUGACUGCCGGAGGGAGCUACUUGUAGAAUAAGAUCUUUAGUAUGGAUAGUAUCUCCCUGUUCUGGAAAUGGAGACCCGGAAAGCAGUCCCAUCCGUAGGGAGGUAGAAUUGGUGAUCACUUUAAAGCUUUUAGACAAGGCAAGAGUCUUCUUUAAAAGCAGUGUUGAUACAGGGCUGUAAAUCGAGGCCCUUUUGCCACCUGGCAUGAUGGCAUGGUGGCAUGGUGAGGACCCCAGGACCUCCCAGCAUGGCCUUCCAGUGUGUCAAUAUGCACCCUACUGGUGGCCUGCAGGAACAGAGAGAGGGCAAAGACAGUCCAACUCUGCUCCCUGGUGUCCCGCCAACUCCUUAUGCCAGACCAAGAAGACCGUUUGGAAAAUGGUUUUUGAUGCUUUGCUUGUGUAGGUGCGUGUACACAAGUUGACUCAAUGAUGUCCCGAUGACACAUUUCAAACCUGGUAACAUGUGACCAUACUCCGGACCUGUACCAGGCACUAGUCCAAGUACUUUGUGUCUAUCCACACCUGUGAGGUGGGGUCUAUCCGUCCCAUUUUCUAUGUGAGUAAACUGAGGUUCAGAGGGUUUAAGUCAUGACUAAUCGAUGUCAGAUCAUCAGGAGUCCAGCUGCACAUGCUCCUGAAUAUAGCCUUUUGAUCAUGGUGCCUUGCCUUUGAAGUUUGCCAGUAGGUCUAAACGCUACUUUAGAAACUGCUGAUGGCAUGUGCGAGCUUGCUUUUAGAGGGUUGGCAGCCAGAAUCUCAACUCAUCCACACUGUGCUAGCUUGCUUCCCAGCAUCUGCACACACCCCUGAAUGUUUAUAACUGACACAGCCACUUGAAUCAGUCACUGUCAACUCCCAUCCGCAUUCUGCCCCAAAAUGCCCACAUGACACCAUGCUAGGCUCUCAGCCAUGCAGGGCGCACAUUAUCUACGAUUUCUUCUCUUCCCACCCGCCUGCCGCAUUUGUCCGAUCCCCUAACUUACUGUUUCAUAGGGCUGCUGUGGGCUCAUGAAGUCUCUCAAGUAGGAUCUGAUUGCUGCCUCUACCUUAAGCUUGGCCCAUUUGCAAAAGCCAGUGCUGUUUUUAGUACAGUGCCCAGCUCAGAAAGUCCCCGAGGAUCAGAGAAGCGGCUUGUUCAUGGAAAUCUUUCUCCAUACAUCACCGAUCUGAGGCAUAAUCUGUAAUUGCGUACAUACAAUGCACUCAGUGGUCACAUGUUCCCCCUCCCACUUCUGGGAAACUAGAGCUGGGAAAAAAAUAUUCAGAACCUUAACUGGGCUCUUGCUGGUGAAGCAGAAGAUUUCAGGUGAGCAGUGGAUUCGCAGAGUGGAUGCAGUGACCUUUGUGAUUUGCAGUGUUUUCAUUCUGCAGCUUGCACGGCAGGGACCCUGACUUCAGAAGCUCUGAUGGCCUGAGGCUGUGUUGGAGAGAAAAAGAAAUAAAGACAGCCUGCCCUACUUCCAGCUUGUCUAGUAAUCUCCCUGUGCAGCUGGGAACCUGAACCGGGCAAGACUGUGUGGAUGAGCGACCUCUAGUGGCUGUGAUUGGGAAGUGC
This 3301-nucleotide small RNA is filed under the name Rattus norvegicus (Norway rat). RNAcentral describes it as "uncharacterized LOC108348532". Lineage: Eukaryota; Metazoa; Chordata; Mammalia; Rodentia; Muridae. The record is from RNAcentral.